This 707-nucleotide long non-coding RNA is filed under the name Fukomys damarensis (Damara mole-rat). RNAcentral's name for it is "lncRNA (ENSFDAG00000031542.1)". The record is from RNAcentral. Lineage: Eukaryota; Metazoa; Chordata; Mammalia; Rodentia; Bathyergidae.
AGCGGUGGAGAACCAGUGUCCUGCGCAUGCGCCCCGCAGGUCGGGUGCGGGAGAAACCUGGCAGCCACUUUGACGCGAGCGGGCGGCCUCGGCCACAGAGCCCUUGACAAGGGCGCCGGACAAGCCCAGGCUAUCCUGCUCAUCGUACCUUCCGUUGCAUUGCCAGGCCUGCCGCUCGGCCCCAAGGCUGGGCCAGUGAAGUGAGUCCUCCCACACGGCCCGACUCAGCGCAGCAGCUCGUCCUAGUGUCCUCCCCGCCCCGCUACCGAAAGUGCAGCUGCCGCCCAAGGAGAGCAACCUCUUCAAACGUAUCCUGGUGGGUGGCAGGCGGGCCGGCCCUCGCGCUUGCCAGGAACUUCCCGGGGCCGUCUGCGGCGCCCCGAUCCUCGCCAGUCCCCCUCGGGCGACGUUCGUCCCUGCUUUGCACCCCAGUACCUGUGGAAGCCCAGCCUUCAGCCGUCAGAAAUGUUAUGAACAGAAGCAAUACAAAAAUGGCCUCAAGUUUUGCAAGAUGAUUCCUUCAAACCCCAAAUUUGCUGAACAUGGAGGAGAAAUACUGUUGAAAUUGGGAAGAUUAAAAGAACUCAGUGAAGUAUUCAAAAACUGAUAGGAAAGCAGAAAAUUGGUAUUAUUAUGAAGGCUUGGAAAAAUCUCUGCAACUUAGUAUGUAAUGAUUUUUCUCAAUAUCUUAACUGGUGUUUGAAGUA